CAAAAGUACUUACACAUAUGUUAUUUAUUAAGAACUCACAACAAUAUUGCACAAAACGUAGUACCCCCUUUUUCAGAUGAAGGAAAGAAGGCCAGAAAAGUUGCAGGUCCUAUAAGUAGUAAGAGACAGGGUCCUUCCUGGAACACGUCCCAACUCCAGCCCCAACCCCCAGCACCAAGCUCAGUUCAUUUUAUACGUCCACUGUACUGUCCCCAAGCCAAGUUGAUUCUCCUCUGCAAACUAGAGAUGACCUCCUGUAGCAUCUAGAUGACUAUGUCCAGCUAGCUCUGGAGGUGGCAGGAGAGAAGCCCAGGAAGGAGAAGGACAGUGCAUCCCCAGCUUGUGCCAAGGGAAGCAGGAGGAGCAGAAAUUCUUGGCAGCCCCUGACCACUGUGCUUAUACAGUGAGCAGCACUUUGGGCCAGGGACCCGGCUCACCGUACUAGGACCCUAGUCUGGGAAGGCGGGUUUGUGCCUGGGUCCCCAGAGCUGUGCAAACACAGGACAGCUGUACUUUGGGGCCGGUUCCAAGCUGACGGUUCUGGCCAGAGAGCCCCCUGAGGGGUGUCUACAGCACCCAUUCCUGCCCGGACUGGACUGGACCCUCAGCCACUGGGAUGCAUCCCCAUCCCCAUAUCUCCCUCUGCCCCCCAGCCUGAAAUCUGGGACCUCACACUAAGUAUUUCAGCCUCAACAGCUCAGUGGUGGAGGAGGUUCAGUUGUUGCAAACAUAUAUUAAAAUGCAGAUAUUUUGUUUGUGAGGUGAGGAAAAUUCCCAGGAUGAUCCUAAGCUCCUAGAUUUGGAAAGGAGCCUCAAACAUCACCUGGUGACAAGAAUGUUGAGGCCAGAGAGGGGAAGAAACUCAUGAUACUGGUACAUUAGCCUGGAUUCUUUGACAACAACAAGCCCCAUUUGUUGUUAGAGUGUCAUUACGCUGGAUCCGAUGGGGCUCAGCUAGACUUUGUCCAGAGGAAAUGCCAGAUUCCUGUGAUGAGCAGGGUUGGGGAAAAGACCAGACUUUAGAGCCAGAUAAACCUGAUCCCAAUCCCUGGAUUGCUGAUGAUCAGAUGACCUUGGGCAAAUGAAUCUGUGGGAAGUUCAGUCCCCUCCACUACACAAGGUCAUCAGCAAUACCCACCACUUACCAUUGCUGUAAGUGUGACUAACAGGAGACCCUACAUGUACAGUAUCCAGGGAAGGUGUAUUGUUACAUUCAGCCCUUCUCUUCUCCACCCUUCCCCUAGGUGGUCACUGGGGAGUGAGGGGAGAG
This is a long non-coding RNA of Lontra canadensis (Northern American river otter), 1270 nucleotides long. RefSeq lists it as uncharacterized. Lineage: Eukaryota; Metazoa; Chordata; Mammalia; Carnivora; Mustelidae. The transcript is spliced from 3 exons. The record is from RefSeq and is a predicted model, not a curated record.